Molecule: ribosomal RNA, 236 nt
Filed under: uncultured bacterium
Lineage: Bacteria
Description: partial 16S ribosomal RNA
Rfam family: Bacterial small subunit ribosomal RNA
Source: RNAcentral
GAUCCUGGCUCCGGAUGAACGCUAGCUACAGGCUUAACACAUGCAAGUCGAGGGGCAGCAUGUUGGUUGCUUGCAACCAAUGAUGGCGACCGGCGCACGGGUGAGUAACGCGUAUCCAACCUACCCUUGUCCAUCGGAUAACCCGUCGAAAGGCGGCCUAACACGAUAUGCGGUUCACAGCAGGCAUCUAACGUGAACGAAAUGUGAAGGAGAAGGAUGGGGAUGCGUCUGAUUAG